This 253-nucleotide ribosomal RNA is filed under the name uncultured bacterium. RNAcentral describes it as "partial 16S ribosomal RNA". It matches the Rfam family "Bacterial small subunit ribosomal RNA", at positions 524 to 776 of the family's 1533-position model. The record is from RNAcentral.
UACGAAGGGAGCUAGCGUUGUCCGGAAUUACUGGGCGUAAAGAGCUCGUAGGUGGUUUGUCGCGUUGUUCGUGAAAACUCACAGCUCAACUGUGGGCGUGCGGGCGAUACGGGCAGACUGGAGUACUGCAGGGGAGACUGGAAUUCCUGGUGUAGCGGUGGAAUGCGCAGAUAUCAGGAGGAACACCGGUGGCGAAGGCGGGUCUCUGGGCAGUAACUGACGCUGAGGAGCGAAAGCGUGGGGAGCGAACAGG